ACUGAAGAAACCCGCCGGCUGCUGGGGCAGGGCGGCGAAAGGUCAGUCGGCCGAGAGGAGUCCGUGGAGCCACCGUUUCAUAGCCUCAGGGAAAGGAUCGGGCGUGCUCACGAGCCCUCUAACCCAUGGCUUAAACACCCGCUUCCUAAGCCUGGUUCCUGAAUAUAUCACAUGUGGUGAUAAACAUGAAGAUGUAUGAAAAAUUGUGUUCGUUGAGAGAAAAUGGAAGGCUUUUCAUUCUACUUCCACAUUUUCAUUCCAGCAGCUUUUCUGUUUUGGAAGAUGAGUACUGAAUCUUGCAAUGAAAUUUUUUUAACUUAAACAAGGUUCUUAUGCCUUUGUUUGAAAAACAUGGUUCCCUGUGAAAUUUUACAUGUAGAAGAAAGCUUCACACUACGAGAGCUCUCAGGAUAUAAUUAUUUCAGACAGAUACUGGGAACAUAAGAUGGCUUAUCAAUCUAAGAUGGCCUUCCUGUCCUUCGGAUUGAACUGAAACCAUCCCUGAUUCCAGGGAUAGGUAGAUGAUCCAGGUUUGGACAAUCAAAAUAUUGAACCACCCUGGACCUACAAGUGUUUCUGGGAUGGGAACAUGCAAACGUUGGUCCAAAUUGUUGUUCUAGGCAGCCCAGUACAUUUCUCCAAUGCCUGAUGGAAUGAUAGGGUAUGCAUAAAUGUUCAUGUGGGCUCUGGAGUAUACCAGGAACUGAAGUAAGGUACAUGGACGUCUUGAAUAUUGUAACUGAGAUGGGCAAGCCUACACCUUUGCAAAUAAAGGAGGAUUGGGAAAGAUUAAGAUCCUGUUAAACGUCAGUGUUACUAUUUAGCCUUUGAUAUCUCCAGUAAAGGCAACUUCUUUCUGGACCCAGAAAUAAAGCUUUACAUUAGCAGCUUCCAUAACACCAAUAACAUGAAUGACCAUCUACUGAGCAAUUGCAGUGCACCAGGAUUAUGGCUUAUGAGCACUUUAUGUUUAUUAUCUCACAACUCACUGAGUUAGAUACUCUCCACAACCCAGUGAGAAUGAUUGAGUCUCAGAAUUGUUCUUUAAUCCUCAGUAUUUCCAUUAAGAAGAGCUUCUAUCAAGUGCUUCAAAAGUACCCAAUGUGAAGGAGUAAUAAUGACUCCCUGCUGGUGAGCGAAGUGUGGAGGACACAGGUCCCUCAGCCGUCCACUGGAUGCUGCACUGUUUGGCCUGAGCCAACAUGGGCAGAAAUACAGGCGGCAGCAUAAGCAGAUGCCAAGAACCUGUCUUGCUUCUACUGUUUUCAUUGGGUUACUAUAUCUCCUUUGUAGUCCAACCUGCAAAUUACUUUGAGAAGGGGAGAUACACCCCUGGACCAAUCUAGGACUAUAUUUGUUCCCUUGCUAAAGUAGGAAAAAAAAUACAGAACCUUUAAAUAUUGAACUCAAGGGCAACUAAUUUAAAUUCCUUUCCUUUCAUGUUGAAAGUCUUUUGACUGGGUUAUUCUGAAGCCAUAGCAAUUAGGUUACAGUUUACUUCUCUGUUACUUUACCAUCUUUAAAUUUGGCACCUUCAAAAGGUUGUUCUGUGCGUUUAAAAAAAAAAAGGAACUACCGUUGGAUAUUGUAUUGUUGAUGACCAUUAUUUGAUUCUGGAUUCUUUUGUGUGUUUGUGUUUGGGUGUUUUUGGUUGUUGUUUGUUUGUUUUCUAGAGACGGGGGGUCUCACUAUGUUGUCCAGACUAGAUUCGAGCCCCUGAGCUCAAGGGAUUCUCCAGCCCCAGCCUCCCGAGUAGCUGGAACUGCAGGCACCCGCCACCACGCCCAGGGACAGUUACUUGAUUCUUAAUAGUCCAGUCAUAAUGAGACAGGAUACUGCAUAAGCCAAAGACCACACAAAGUAUCAAUGUUAAGUAUCAAGAGGGUGUGGAGGAAGUGGGUUACAACCACUUUGUCUCCCAACUGUUGUAUGUUUUGCCUUUAAAAAUUUUUUUAAGUACGUUAAAUUCUAAUGUACUCAGAUGUGGCUGAAACAAUGACAAAACAUUAGUUUUCUUUAAAUAUGCGUGCUGUAUUCAUUGAUCAUAUUUCUGUAUUUAAAUAAGUACAUUUUUUAAAACAUCAUAAAGUGGAUCAGUAAUGCUGUAAUAUCACAUUUCAUGUAUUAUACAACAUUUUUGAAAUGGAGUACUCCAAAGUAAUUUGCUUCUUAUGGUUACCAAAGUUUAAAGAAUACCCUAACAUGCACUCCAAGAUUUUAAGAGGAAAGGCUUUGUGUUUUUCAUUACUGUAUUUUGAAAUCUGAGAGUGCAAAACUAGUUUUCUUAGGUAAACCCCGUAAUCAGUUUCCACAUUUACCUGUAAAAGUCAGUGGAGGGCAUACAUCUGGAAGUAGUAGUGGCGGUACACAAUGUGUGUUAAUAUGAUUUCCAAGGGGUAUCUAGAGUAAACUUUCUUAAUCACAGAUCUGAUCUGAGCAUGCCACUCCUUUCUUAAAAUCUUUUGUUGAUUUUCCAUUUCCCUAAAAGGAAGGCCCACUGGAGCAUGGGCCUUGCAAAGUCCUCUUUCUGGCUUCUGCCUGCCUGCCUUUUCAGCUUCAUCUCUGCCAUCUUCCCUGAAUGAACUUUUGUCAGUGGCCUCGCUCUUUCUACCUAUGAGAUGUUGUUUCUGCAUGUUCUUGCAUGGAAUUCUCUUCCUCCCAACCCUGUUUCAUUCCUUUAAUCUGUACAACUCUUUCUUAUCCUGAAGUCUUUAUGUUAAGGUUGCCUUUUCAGGAAGACUUUUAAUUGUAUUAGCUAAUUAAUUAAUUAAUAGUCUGAGGUAUUUGGAGCUGAGAUUCUAUGGGGAUUAGUUGCUGGAGGGUAGUUUAGAGCCAGAUUGUGAAGGACUUUCUAAACUGUGCUUUCAAGGUUUUGAACAGGAAAAUGAUGUAGACUUUCUGUUUUUUGUAAGUUUGGAGGAUGGCUUGUGUCUUAAAAGAAUAUGUAACAUAACCAUCUAAUUUGUGAGUAGUGGACUAAGGAAACACCACUCUAACCUUUUUCUCUCUGCGAUAAUCCCAUCUUCAGCCUCUCAAGCACUGUGAAAAAUCACUUUCUCUUGUUGUAUUCUUGGAGCCCCUGCUAAUUCAUUAUUGAAAAAUACCUGCUGCCUGCAUUUGGCCUUAUGUUGUCAUUUACUUGGUACUUCCUAAGCGUGGCUACUCCAAUGAAGCUUUAGUAUAUGUACUGAAAGAAGAUCCUCUCAUACUGCCACAGCCAAGAGAUAAGGUUGUAAAUCUUUAUUGGGAGAAGCCGUCAAGGACAGUUCUGUGAAAUGAAAGGAUCUCUGGAUCACCACAAAGUCUGGCUCAGUGACUAUGGCUUUGCAAACACUAAACAUUCCUGUCUCAAGUCCUGUAGAUGGCUUGAAAUAGUAUACAUAAGCAUGCCUUAUAAACAUCUUCAGUCUUUAUCAACUCUUUGGAGAUUCAGCCAUUCUUUUUUGUACUUUAGGGAAUUAAAUCAUUUUAUAAUGUAUAAAUCUGAGCAUGGCCGAUGGCAGAAGAAAUUUUGUCAUACGUUUUUAAAGAAAUAAAAAUGUAUUAUGUUUUAAAAUUCCUUUAACUGUUUUUCUUACAAAAU
This 3583-nucleotide long non-coding RNA is filed under the name Homo sapiens (human). Its description in RNAcentral is "non-protein coding lnc-SLC30A7-2:23". The record is from RNAcentral. Lineage: Eukaryota; Metazoa; Chordata; Mammalia; Primates; Hominidae.